CCGGCUGCCCGGCGGGUGCGGGAAACGGCAGGGUCGCUCGGGCCGGUCCGGGUCGGUGGGCAUCGGUCGGCUGGUCGUCCCCGCCGUCACCGGA
Molecule: transfer RNA, 94 nt
Filed under: Micromonospora sp. AKA109
Lineage: Bacteria; Bacillati; Actinomycetota; Actinomycetes; Micromonosporales; Micromonosporaceae
Description: tRNA-Pro
Source: RNAcentral